RNAcentral lists this ribosomal RNA (497 nucleotides) under uncultured bacterium. RNAcentral's name for it is "partial 16S ribosomal RNA". It matches the Rfam family "Bacterial small subunit ribosomal RNA", at positions 28 to 507 of the family's 1533-position model. The record is from RNAcentral.
GAUGAACGCUGGCGGCGUGCCUAAUACAUGCCAGUCGAGCGAACAGACGAGGAGCUUGCUCCUCUGACGUUAGCGGCGGACGGGUGAGUAACACGUGGAUAACCUACCUAUAAGACUGGGAUAACUUCGGGAAACCGGAGCUAAUACCGGAUAAUAUAUUGAACCGCAUGGUUCAAUAGUGAAAGACGGUUUUGCUGUCACUUAUAGAUGGAUCCGCGCCGCAUUAGCUAGUUGGUAAGGUAACGGCUUACCAAGGCGACGAUGCGUAGCCGACCUGAGAGGGUGAUCGGCCACACUGGAACUGAGACACGGUCCAGACUCCUACGGGAGGCAGCAGUAGGGAAUCUUCCGCAAUGGGCGAAAGCCUGACGGAGCAACGCCGCGUGAGUGAUGAAGGUCUUCGGAUCGUAAAACUCUGUUAUUAGGGAAGAACAAAUGUGUAAGCAACUAUGCACGUCUUGACGGUACCUAAUCAGAAAGCCACGGCUAACUACGUG